AUGCUGUUGAGGAGCGCAGCCUCCACCUCUGGGGACACACUUCUCCUGAGCAAGCACAUGGCAUACUCCAUCAUUGAUGUGUCACAGGGCAGCGUGAUUCUGCCACUGUUAACGCCUGUGAAGCCGAACUCCUCUUGGGACAUCCUCAACAGCUCGUCGAAGACGGUCGUGCCGAGGAACGCAAGCGGCACCUCGAACCUCACACCGUCGGUAGUGUACACGACGAAGUGGCCCUUGCCAGCCACAGGCGAGCACGACGUGCCGCACGGCCCUCCGGUUUCCUCCCCUGAUGUUGAUGAGGUGAGCCUCUUCCUCCCCAUAGCCACCACCCUCUGCCACUUCUUGGCCAGCUGA
This 354-nucleotide ribosomal RNA is filed under the name Triticum aestivum (bread wheat). RNAcentral describes it as "partial small subunit ribosomal RNA". Lineage: Eukaryota; Viridiplantae; Streptophyta; Magnoliopsida; Poales; Poaceae. The record is from RNAcentral.